Molecule: non-coding RNA, 193 nt
Organism: Arabidopsis thaliana (thale cress)
Lineage: Eukaryota; Viridiplantae; Streptophyta; Magnoliopsida; Brassicales; Brassicaceae
Product: other RNA
Exons: 1
Source: RefSeq
UAGCUGAUAAGCAUCUUGAGUUUGCUACCACCGUCGGAUGCAAGACCAGCAUGCAUCUCAACGGUCAUAGCAUCAGCCACUUGUCUCAGUUUCGAGAUCGGAGUCGCACAAUCCUCUUCAAAGGCCUUGAGGAUAGCCAAAACACGUCCCCACUUCCCUGAGCUCUGCAUCCGUCGUCGAACAACCAAAACAG